UUUUUUUCCUUCUUCU
Molecule: small RNA, 16 nt
Filed under: Arabidopsis thaliana (thale cress)
Lineage: Eukaryota; Viridiplantae; Streptophyta; Magnoliopsida; Brassicales; Brassicaceae
Description: ATSL247970
Source: RNAcentral